RNAcentral lists this ribosomal RNA (478 nucleotides) under uncultured bacterium. RNAcentral describes it as "bacterial SSU rRNA". It matches the Rfam family "Bacterial small subunit ribosomal RNA", at positions 28 to 501 of the family's 1533-position model. The record is from RNAcentral.
GAUGAACGCUAGCGGCGGGCCUAAUACAUGCAAGUCGAACGAGAUUAUUGGUAGCAAUACUGAUAUGAAAGUGGCGCACGGGUGCGUAACACGUAUGUAACCUACCUUUAACUGGGGAAUAGCUUCGAGAAAUCGAAAUUAAUACCCCAUAACAUUUAGAAAAGGCAUCUUUUCUUUAUCAAAGUUCAGGCGGUUAAAGAUGGACAUGCGGUGCAUUAGCUUGUUGGUGAGGUAAUGGCUCACCAAGGCUACGAUGCAUAGGGGGUCUGAGAGGAUGAUCCCCCACACUGGUACUGAGACACGGACCAGACUCCUACGGGAGGCAGCAGUAGGGAAUAUUGGGCAAUGGACGAAAGUCUGACCCAGCCACGCCGCGUGAAGGAUGACUGCCCUAUGGGUUGUAAAACUUCUUUUGAUGGGAAGAAACCUCCGAACGUGUUCGGAGCUGACGGUACCAUAAGAAUAAGCAUCGGCUAAC